This 248-nucleotide long non-coding RNA is filed under the name Homo sapiens (human). RNAcentral describes it as "HSALNT0081301". The record is from RNAcentral. Lineage: Eukaryota; Metazoa; Chordata; Mammalia; Primates; Hominidae.
GAUCAGAGAAGAGACGAAGGCAUGGAAUACAAAAUGAAACAGCAGAGAGUGCUAGAAUUCAGAGUUGGAAGAAGCCAUCAGCCUGGAAGAAAAUCUGGCCCAAGACAGAGAAAGGUAUUUCAAUGGAACGGUAUCUCAAACAUAGUAAGAGGAAUUUAAACCAAAGGCCUAUCCAAACAAAAAUGUGUUCCCUUAGUCACUAAGCCAUACUAACGGCACAAUAAUUAUCAAGGUAGUUGACUUAGCAA